RNAcentral lists this long non-coding RNA (1476 nucleotides) under Brassica rapa (field mustard). RNAcentral describes it as "long non-coding RNA (BRAP_LNC001702)". The record is from RNAcentral. Lineage: Eukaryota; Viridiplantae; Streptophyta; Magnoliopsida; Brassicales; Brassicaceae.
GAGAGAGAAAAUUUCCUCUGCCUUCUCACUAGAACUCAGCCGUGGGAUUUGCGUCUCCGGCCGGCGGGUUUGGCUACCUAGCCACCGUCGGUCGGGUUUGUGUUGUCUUUAGAGUUUUUAUUUUAUUUAGUUUUUUGUUUGUGAGAAGGAAGGAUCUCGGUCUCCUUUUGGUUCCGACUCCGGGAGAUGGAAGCUUCGCAGCUCCGUCGUCGCUGACUUAUGACUCUGGAGAUGGAGGCUUUCAAAGCUCUGUUUGCCGGCUUAAGACUAAAGACGAAAGUAAUUGGGUUAGUUACCGAUCUAUGGGAGGGUUAUGUGUGUUGGAAUGGUGGUUUGAUGGAGCGGAUGAAAUCUCGUCGUUGGACGAUUGAAGCUCUCCGAUGAAUGAUGGUUCUGAUGUGUGUGAAGCCUCUUCUCUGUGUUUGUGGCGUAAGGUAUUGGAUGAGAUCUCGAACUAUCGUUGAUGCUCUCCGAUGUUGAAACACAUGAGAUGGUGGGCUCGUUGUUAGUAAUCCUGUUCCCGGCAGGUUUUCUGGUGGUUGAUGUGGUGCAGACGAGGUUGUUCUCCGACGUUAAACUUUGGUCGGUGAAGUCAUAGAGGGGGUCUCUCUGCGGUUCAACGCGUGUCCGUCACUUCCUCCUCUGUCAUACACGUUUCGUGUGCGUGUCUUUAGUUCUGGGUGGGUUUAAUUGGGCUUCUUUGGGCCUCAUCCUUGUGGGUUUAAGUCUACUCGUUUGUGGGCUUAUGUAUACAUUUCUAGCUUUUGUUUGGGCCUGUUUUGGCUUUGUUCUUGUACUUUUAUCAUGUUUAAUACUCCCUCCGUUUUUUAAUAUAAGUCGUUUUACAGCUAUACACGUAGAUUAAGAAAACCAUUAAUUUUUUAUAUUUUCUAAACAAAAACAUCAUUCACUAUUUACCUAACUACAAUUCAACCAAUAGAAAAAUAUAAGAUAUAUUACCAUUGGUCAUACAACAUUAAUUAUUAAUAAAUUUUACAUAGAAAACCGAAAACGACAUAUAAUUUGGAACAAAAAAGUUUCUCUAAAAUGACUUAUAAUAAAAAACGGAGGGAGUAUUAAUAUAAGAUGACAAAAAAAAAAUAGUUUGUAGGUCUGUUUACAAAAAAAAAAAUAGUUUGUAGGUUAAUAUUUAAUUAAGAAAAAGAAAAAAAAACAAUACUCCCGAGGAGAGUCGUCAUUACUAUUCAAAUUAGUCGAGCCGUGAAACUUAGGGCACUUCGUGUGGGGACAAGAGUGGUUAUGAAAUUGACGAAUGUGAUCGUUAAUGUGACUCCCUUCGUCCACUCGCGUGUUAGUUGAUUCCACACGAAACAUAGACCUGAUCACGCCGGAUGUUCUCUCGACGCAUGUACUACUCUUUGAUUAACAAUCAUCACGCACCUCACUGUUUGGAUAUUUUUCUUUGUUGUGGUAAUUUAGUCGUCGCAUUUAUCGGCUCUCGCGUGUAAAACGAGA